GGGGGGAGGCCGGAUCCUGGGCCCUGUCCCGCGCCCUGUGCUAGGGGCCUGCGCUGGUGAAUUCGCGCCUCCGCCCCGCAGCCCCCU
Canis lupus familiaris (dog) is the source of this 87-nucleotide non-coding RNA. NCBI's taxonomy places the organism in Eukaryota, Metazoa, Chordata, Mammalia, Carnivora, Canidae. The record is from Rfam.